This is a long non-coding RNA of Corvus hawaiiensis (hawaiian crow), 2050 nucleotides long. RefSeq lists it as uncharacterized. NCBI's taxonomy places the organism in Eukaryota, Metazoa, Chordata, Aves, Passeriformes, Corvidae. The transcript has 3 exons. The record is from RefSeq and is a predicted model, not a curated record.
CAGAGGUAGCGAAUGAUUUCUCAAUAAUGCAGUAUUCAGCUGCUCAAUUGCUCCCAAGCUACAUAGCUCAUCAUGUUUUUACACUGUUCUGUAUCUGCAGCCAUUUCAAUUCCCAGCAACAUCCCAGCAACAGCAAUAAUGGAAAGAAGCAGCAUUCAUUUCAGUACCAAGUUAAGAAAAACAAGGGUGACUUCGGAGACUGUAGUGCACUUCAAAAGAGGUUUCCUUGUACAAGAAAUCAUCUCUCCUUCAUACAAUAGAUACACAUGAAGAUUCAUACAGACCGAGGCAAUACAACUGUGAUUCAUCCUUCAGACUAACGUGUACAUAGCAACUCUAAUUUUAUUUACAACCAUGAAAAAUGAAAGCUUUUUCCAGAAUAUAAGCAGCUAGCUCUUCUGUGUCAUGAAUCUCUUUCCCCAUCCAUAUAAAAUCCUCUUCUUUCUAUACUGCAGCUCAAGCACAAAUGCAGUGUUUUUCACAUAACCAGUUCUAUUUUUAGCCUGAAUUGUAGGAAGUCUGCAGCAUUAAUAAAUGGAAGAGAAGUACAGAAGUACACUGCAUGGUAAUGUGCCAAUGCAAAAGCUACCUUGGCCUUUAGCCAGUGAACUGUGGUUAGAUGUUAGAGCAAUCAAAGUGAAAACACCACUUAUAACAGAAUGAUUAAUAAGCUGACAAACUUCCAUGCAUUUAUUUCAUACUUUUUGAAUGCCAACCUUAUUAAUACCAACAUAUUUUCUUUUUAUUAGUGAUAUCUCUCAGCCUGAAGGACAGAGGAGAUAAAUAUAUAUAUACUUAUAUGUAUUUUUAUACCUGCAAUUGUGGUUUGCUUAAUUCUGUGUUCAAAUAAAAAGGAGGAUACUUUGCAGUGCAGACCUUGACACAGGAAAACAAGGAAUAAGGAAGGAGCUUUUUUUUAUAAACUAAUAUUGUGACUCCAGUAGGCAUAAAACUCAUUGUUUCAAGAUUUUCUCUCUUAUUGACUCCGCAAUUCGCUUGUCUGGCCUCAAAAUUCAGAAAGCAAAAAUGCUCCAAAGCUGUUACACGAAGGACAAAAGUUCACAGUUCUUACAGGGACACAGUCUUCUGUAAUCACUUCUCACCCAAUCCACAAAACUUGUCCCAGCACUGUUAUGCUGUGGACAGAUGGAUGUUUAUAUAAAAGACCUUGUUCCUGAAUAAAAUUCCAUUUCGGGGUUAUAUAAAAACAGCAAUUACUGGAAAAUGGAACUUUUUAAUUAAAUGUAUUCGAAGAAAGUAGGGAUUAAUGACUUUAAAGUAGGGAGUAUUUAAUGCUUGCAGUCAUAGAUCAUCCACUAGUGAAGCUGUAUUAUCACCAUCAGGCAACAAUGCUUUUAAGUAUCAAUGGUGGGUACGUUAAUAAGGCUUCAAAUGUUUUCAUAGCAAUAUAAUUAGCAACACAACUAAUGUAUACUACACCUAUUCUUAAAAUAAUGCCGUAUUAACCUUAACUCACAGCAACCUCUUCAAAAUAAAUAAACAUAGACUUCAGAUCAGGCUGGUUGUCCCUUGGUCCAGUGAAGUGAAGAUUUGAAACAUCGAAACUUUUAGGCAAUGCUGAUGUGGUAGGGUACGGUUCCUGAUAAUUACACCAGAAAAAUGUAAUAACGGCCUAUCUGAUUCGCUGAUUUGUAGGUAGGAAGGAAAUGAUUGCUUUGCACUUCAAUUAAAUACAGGCAAUAAAACAUAGGCAAAAUUUUAUACUGGCUCUGAAAUUGUGCCUGCACAGAUCAGAGCCUGGGUCAUGCACAUCUUAAAAAUCAAGCUCUGACUGUGUACCUCAUAUGGAUCAAAUACUAUAUGGUGAGAACAGAAACCCACGCACAGAAGUCAAGAGAGAAAAACCGAAACACCAACAUUAGCUUUGUUUUUCUGUGAAGAAUUUUAUUCAGGUACAGGAAAAUCAAUACUUGUCCUCUGACUGUACACAGUGUACUUGAGCUGUUCUGUCAGGAUCUAUAUAGAAAACAGAGAUGGAAUUUUAGGUGGGUGGAUAUGAUGAUCAGGUGGAGGUAAAACACAAUGGCAC